This 465-nucleotide ribosomal RNA is filed under the name uncultured bacterium. RNAcentral describes it as "partial 16S ribosomal RNA". It matches the Rfam family "Bacterial small subunit ribosomal RNA", at positions 338 to 795 of the family's 1533-position model. The record is from RNAcentral.
CCUACGGGAGGCAGCAGUGGGGAAUUUUGCGCAAUGCUCGUAAGAGUGACGCAGCGACGCCGCGUGAAUGACGAAGGCCUUCGGGUCGUAAAGUUCUUUCGACAGGGAAGAAAAUGCCUAUAAGUAACUGUGUAUGUAUUGACGGUACCUGUAUAAGCAGCCCCGGCUAACUCCGUGCCAGCAGCCGCGGUAAUACGGAGGGGGCGAGCGUUGUUCGGAGGGACUGGGCGUAAAGAGCACGUAGGCGGUGUUGUAAGUCAUUAGUCAAAGACUAGAGCUCAACUUUAGUAAGGCUAGUGAUACUAUAAUACUAGAGUAUCAGAGAGGAUUGCAGAAUUCCUGGUGUAGCGGUGAAAUGCGUAAAUAUCAGGAGGAAUACCGUUAGCGAAGGCGGCAAUCUGGCUGGAAACUGACGCUGAGGUGCGAAAGCGUGGGUAGCAAACAGGAUUAGAUACCCUAGUAGUC